RNAcentral lists this ribosomal RNA (405 nucleotides) under uncultured bacterium. RNAcentral describes it as "partial 16S ribosomal RNA". It matches the Rfam family "Bacterial small subunit ribosomal RNA", at positions 29 to 526 of the family's 1533-position model. The record is from RNAcentral.
AUUGAACGCUGGCGGCAGGCCUAACACAUGCAAGUCGAACGAGUGGCGGACGGGUGAGUAAUGUCUGGGAAACUGCCUGAUGGAGGGGGAUAACUACUGGAAACGGUAGCUAAUACCGCAUACCAUCGGAUGUGCCCAGAUGGGAUUAGCUAGUAGGUGGGGUAAAGGCUCACCUAGGCGACGAUCCCUGGCUGGUCUGAGGGGAUGACCAGCCACACUGGAACUUAGACACGGUCCGAACUCCUACGGGGGGAAGCAGGGGGGAAUAUUGCACAAUGGGCGAAAGCCUGUUGCAGCCAUGCCGCGGGAAUGAAGAAGGCCUUCGGGUUGAACAGUACUUUCAGCGGGGAGGCGUUACCCGAAGAGGAGGCACCGGCUAACUCCGGGCCAGCGCCGCGGUAAUAC